RNAcentral lists this long non-coding RNA (576 nucleotides) under Mytilus galloprovincialis (Mediterranean mussel). Lineage: Eukaryota; Metazoa; Mollusca; Bivalvia; Mytilida; Mytilidae. The record is from RNAcentral.
AUAGAGAUCCAUACACUUAAACACAAGUUAUUGUCUGUAAAGUAGAACCAGAUGCUCCGCAGGGCGCAGCUUUAUACGACCGCAGAGGUUGAACCCUGAACGGUUGGGGCAAGUUUGUGGUCAUAAACCUUGUGUUAAAAUUUCAUAGAUUUCUAUUCACUUUUACUAAAGUUAGAGUGCGAAAACUAAAAGUAUUCAGACAACGACGACGACGACGUGAUACCAAUAUACGACCAAAAAAUUUUCAAUUUUUGCGGGUCGUAUAAAAAUGCUUCUUAUUGGCUCUUUUUUGGCCCCUUUAUCCUACAUAUUCGAGAAAAUUAACCCCAAACUGAAUCCUUCCCUGUGUUAUAUGGAAACUUGUGGUACAAUGUCAGAGAGAUCCAUACAGUUACACACAAGUUAUUGUCUUAAAACUAGAAAAAUGCUUGUUUUGGCCCCUUUUUGGCCCUUAAUUCCUAGACUGUUUUCCCAAUAACCCCUUAAAAUAAAUCCCAACCUUCUACUUAUGGUAUAAAACAUUUUGUUACAAUUUCAGAACAAUUGAAAUACUAAUACACAACUUUUUGUCCUGAA